AACAAGGCGUACCUGCGGACCUGCGGAGGGAUCAUUACCGAGUGUGAACCCCCCCGUAAAAAAGAGGGGUUACCUCCCGUCCUUUGCUGGGAACCCCUUUCCAACUUGGAAGGAGGUUGUUUUCAGACCCUUCUGCUUCGGUGGGGUAACCCACCGGAACAACCUCAAAAAUAUUCUCAAUUCAAAGCCGUUCAGUCCGAGAACUUUUUUGAAAAGCGAAAAAACUUUUAACAAUGGAUC
This 240-nucleotide unclassified non-coding RNA is filed under the name soil metagenome. Its description in RNAcentral is "partial contains 5.8S ribosomal RNA, internal transcribed spacer 2, and large subunit ribosomal RNA". The record is from RNAcentral.